Molecule: unclassified non-coding RNA, 218 nt
Filed under: soil metagenome
Description: partial internal transcribed spacer 1
Source: RNAcentral
CCAAUUCAAAGAGUCAGUUGUAGAGGUAAAACUCUGCUUCUGUCAUCUCAAACACUUGUGAACCGUAUUUCCAGACAGUGUCUAGGAUAAGUCUCUGCUCACUCGCCAUGGGCAGACGGCUGAUUGGCAACUUGUUGUCAAGUCCUUGGCACCGUCGCUGUUUAAUGGCUCUUAUAUAUAAAUGUCUAAGGACCCGUGACAAACUUUAAACGUUAAUA